CCUACGGGGAGCAGCAGUGAGGAAUAUUGGUCAAUGGACGCAAGUCUGAACCAGCCAUGCCGCGUGCAGGAAGACGGCUCUAUGAGUUGUAAACUGCUUUUAGUUGGGAAUAAAAGCGGGCUCGUGAGCCCCGCAUUGUAUGUACCAUCAGAAAAAGGACCGGCUAAUUCCGUGCCAGCAGCCGCGGUAAUACGGAAGGUCCGGGCGUUAUCCGGAUUUAUUGGGUGUAAAGGGAGCGUAGGCGGAAUGUCAAGUCAGCGGUAAAAUUUCGGGGCUCAACCCCGUCGUGCCGUUGAAACUGGCGUUCUUGAGAGAGCGAGAAGUAUGCGGAAUGCGUGGUGUAGCGGUGAAAUGCAUAG
RNAcentral lists this ribosomal RNA (359 nucleotides) under uncultured bacterium. Its description in RNAcentral is "partial 16S ribosomal RNA". It matches the Rfam family "Bacterial small subunit ribosomal RNA", at positions 338 to 693 of the family's 1533-position model. The record is from RNAcentral.